This 488-nucleotide ribosomal RNA is filed under the name uncultured bacterium. RNAcentral describes it as "bacterial SSU rRNA". It matches the Rfam family "Bacterial small subunit ribosomal RNA", at positions 378 to 876 of the family's 1533-position model. The record is from RNAcentral.
AAAGCGUGACGCAGCGACGCCGCGUGGGGGAUGAAGGCCCUCGGGUCGUAAACCCCUUUCGGCAGGGACGAAGCGAGAGUGACGGUACCUGCAGAAGAAGUCCCGGCUAACUACGUGCCAGCAGCCGCGGUGACACGUAGGGGACGAGCGUUGUCCGGAUUCAUUGGGCGUAAAGCGCGCGUAGGCGGCCCGGAAAGUCGGUUGUGAAAUCCCGGGGCUCAACCCCGGGACCGCGUCCGAAACUUCCGAGCUCGAGGCAGGUAGGGGAGAUCGGAAUUCCUGGUGUAGCGGUGAAAUGCGCAGAUAUCAGGAGGAACACCGGUGGCGAAGGCGGAUCUCUGGGCCUUGCCUGACGCUGAGGCGCGAAAGCUAGGGGAGCGAACAGGAUUAGAUACCCUGGUAGUCCUAGCCGUAAACGUUGGGUGCUAGGUGUGGGCGGACAUCGACCCCGUCCGUGCCGAAGCUAACGCAUUAAGCACCCCGCCUGG